GUGGGGAAUAUUGGGCAAUGGGGGAAACCCUGACCCAGCAACGCCGCGUGAAGGAAGAAGGCUUUCGGGUUGUAAACUUCUUUUACCAGGGAAAAACACAAUGAUGGUACCUGGAGAAAAAGCUACGGCUAACUACGUGCCAGCAGCCGCGGUAAUACGUAGGUGGCAAGCGUUGUCCGGAAUUACUGGGUGUAAAGGGCGUGUAGGCGGAACUACAAGUCAGGGGUGAAAACUAUGGGCUUAACCCAUAGCCUGCCUUUGAAACUGUAGUCCUUGAGUGCUGGAGAGGCAAGUGGAAUUCCUAGUGUAGCGGUGAAAUGCGUAGAUAUUAGGAGGAACACCAGUGGCGAAGGCGAAUUGCUGGACAGUAACUGACGCUGAGGCGCGAAAGCGUGGGGAGCAAACAGGAUUAGAAACCCCGGUAGUCC
RNAcentral lists this ribosomal RNA (428 nucleotides) under uncultured bacterium. RNAcentral's name for it is "partial 16S ribosomal RNA". It matches the Rfam family "Bacterial small subunit ribosomal RNA", at positions 354 to 796 of the family's 1533-position model. The record is from RNAcentral.